This 348-nucleotide unclassified non-coding RNA is filed under the name soil metagenome. RNAcentral describes it as "partial contains 5.8S ribosomal RNA, internal transcribed spacer 2, and large subunit ribosomal RNA". The stretch from base 1 to 120 matches the Rfam family "5.8S ribosomal RNA", at positions 35 to 154 of the family's 154-position model. The record is from RNAcentral.
GAUGAAGAACGCAGUGAAAUGCGAUAACUAGUGUGAAUUGCAGAAUUCCGUGAAUCAUCGAGUCUUUGAACGCACAUUGCGCCCCCUGGUAUUCCGGGGGGCAUGCCUGUCCGAGCGUCAUUGCUGCCCAUCAAGCACGGCUUGUGUGUUGGGUCGUCGUCCCCUCUCCGGGGGGGACGGGCCCCAAAGGCAGCGGCGGCACCGCGUCCGAUCCUCGAGCGUAUGGGGCUUUGUCACCCGCUCUGUAGGCCCGGCCGGCGCUUGCCGAACGCAAAUCAAUCUUUUUCCAGGUUGACCUCGGAUCAGGUAGGGAUACCCGCUGAACUUAAGCAUAUCAAUAAGCGAGGA